UGGCACCAUGUGGAGUGACAAUGUAAAGUUUUCACCGUACUCCUAUAUUCCCGUCCUUGAGUACGCAUGACAAGAAAGGAUAUCCUAAUUCUAUUCCAAAUGUGGCCUGACCAAAGUCUGAUACAGUUGCAGUACGACUUGCCUUUUAAUACCCUGACCAAUGAAGAUAACCAAUUAAGAUUUCAUGAUAAACUGCCGUUCGGAGGCAUCUUGGGCGGAAGAAGUGAAUACUGUCGAGCGGAUGAAGCUUGACUGGUGGCCAAUGGGAGGCACCAUCAAAAGAAAGCAUAAACAACUCAAGUCCGACAGUGUCUUCUAAUGCCUUAGAAUUAAAAUCUGGAUGGACGCCUCAGAAGGCUAGAACGGAGUCAGAAAUUGGACUUAAAAUGGGCACAGCAUUCACUGCUACAGUUGGUGUGGAAGGCCAUAGAGGAAGAGAUAUCAAUGGAGUGACUAACUGGGCAUCCUGUCUUGUGAAAGGUUAUUCAGAGAUUUGGUGAUGUAUGUAUCAAGUAACAUCGCUUUGGAAGCAAUCUUAAACAAAUCGUUUAGUGGUUAACCAAGUUUUUUCUCUCACUCCUUUUUUGUAUGUAUACACA
Long non-coding RNA from Stegostoma tigrinum, 599 nucleotides. RefSeq lists it as uncharacterized. The transcript is spliced from 3 exons. The record is from RefSeq and is a predicted model, not a curated record. Lineage: Eukaryota; Metazoa; Chordata; Chondrichthyes; Orectolobiformes; Stegostomatidae.